CGGCGAGUGAAACGGCAAAAGCUCAAAUUUGAAAUCUGGCACCUUCGGUGUCCGAGUUGUAAUUUGAAGAUGGUCAACCUUGGGGUCCGGCUCUUGUCUAUGUCCUUGGAACAGGACGUCAUCAGAGGGUGAGAAUCCCGUGUCGAUCGAGAUGCCCAGUCCUAUGUAAGGUGCUUUCGAAGAGUCGAGU
This 190-nucleotide ribosomal RNA is filed under the name uncultured fungus. RNAcentral describes it as "partial 26S ribosomal RNA". It matches the Rfam family "Eukaryotic large subunit ribosomal RNA", at positions 87 to 270 of the family's 3401-position model. Lineage: Eukaryota; Fungi. The record is from RNAcentral.